CUCCCCUCCCCUUCCAAAACUGAGGUGUCUUCUCAGGUCUGGCCACAUGCAGCUCACAGACAAGACCCUCUGAUGGCUUUUCUUCAGAGCAGAAGUAUUCGCUGUCAAGUCUUAAUUUCCAUUUUGUGGGGGAGAAGCCCAGUUGUUCAGGAGUCUGUAAUGAGAUGACUUCCCUGCAGUGCGUUUGCCCUUGCAAGAAUCUUCCAACGUUCCAGGCCAAAAAGGAGCAUUUGGGUGCUGAGUUGCAGGGCAGGGGGGNNNNNNNNNNNNNNNNNNNGCCCCGGGGGGGGAGGCGGGGGGGCCCUGGGGUGGCCCUGGGCCUGGUCCUGCCCUGGAGUCGGGGUGGGGGCCUAGACCUGCUGGACAGGCCCUGCCAGGCUCACCACUUGAACUGCUGCUCUGGGUCUACGUCCUCCUGUGAGUCAGCCGUGCAGUUCAGUUUAGAAUACACGGGGGGGGUUGGGGGGGUGCACUGGCCUGCAUACUCACCCACGUGCAAGUGCACACGCCCACACACGCACACACGCGCACACACAAGAGCACACGUGUGUACAGGCACCACAGCGCUUCCUGGAGGGGCCGGUGUUCUGCUUUUGCUCUGCGUUCCUAACUGUGCUCUUUCCUUCACCCUGAGCCCUCCAUCCUGCCCAGGGAAGAAGGCACAGAGGAGCCGUAUCAGCCCGGGCUGCCGUCCCCUGCUCACAGCCAGCAGGGCACCCAGGCACGUGUGGGCCCGGGAGGACUCGGUUCCCACCAGGAGCACCGGGAGUCCCGAGUUGCGGGCUUUGGCCACAUCUUCGUGA
Molecule: long non-coding RNA, 803 nt
Filed under: Ovis aries (sheep)
Lineage: Eukaryota; Metazoa; Chordata; Mammalia; Artiodactyla; Bovidae
Description: lncRNA (ENSOARG00000026076.1)
Source: RNAcentral